AUGCUUAACACAUGCAAGUCGAACGGAAACGAUGGAAGCUUGCUUCCAGGCGUCGAGUGGCGGACGGGUGAGUAAUGCUUGGGAAUCUGCCUAAUAGUGGGGGAAAACUCGGGGAAACUCGGGCUAAUACCGCAUAAUCUCUUCGGAGGAAAGAGGGCCUCUACAUGUAAGCUCUCGCUAAUAGAUGAGCCCAAGUCAGAUUAGCUUGUUGGUGAGGUAAAAGCUCACCAAGGCUACGAUCUGUAGCUGGUCUGAGAGGACGAUCAGCCACACUGGGACUGAGACACGGCCCAGACUCCUACGGGAGGCAGCAGUGGGGAAUAUUGCACAAUGGGCGCAAGCCUGAUGCAGCAAUGCCGCGUGUGUGAAGAAGGCCUUAGGGUUGUAAAGCACUUUCAAUAGAGAAGAAAAGCUUAGAGUUAAUAACUCUAAGCAUUGACGUAACCUAUAGAAGAAGCACCGGCUAAAUCCGUGCCAGCAGCCGCGGUAAUACGGAUGGUGCGAGCGUUAAUCGGAAUUACUGGGCGUAAAGCGCGCGUAGGCUGUCUUAUAAGUCGGAUGUGAAAUCCCCGGGCUUAACCUGGGAACUGCAUCCGAAACUAUUUAACUAGAGUAUGGGAGAGGUAAGUAGAAUUUCCGGUGUAGCGGUGAAAUGCGUAGAUAUCUGAAGGAACACCAGUGG
This 682-nucleotide ribosomal RNA is filed under the name uncultured bacterium. RNAcentral describes it as "bacterial SSU rRNA". It matches the Rfam family "Bacterial small subunit ribosomal RNA", at positions 44 to 715 of the family's 1533-position model. The record is from RNAcentral.